AACUGCAUUUGAUACUGGCAAACUAGAGUAUGGUACCGGAAUGGGGAAUUUCUGGUGUAGCGGUGAAAUGCGUAGAGAUCAGAAGGAACACCAAUGGCGAAGGCAACAUUCUGGACCAAUACUGACACUGAGGGACGAAAGCGUGGGGAUCAAACAGGAUUAGAUACCCUGGUAGUCCACGCUGUAAACGAUGAGUACUAGCUGUUGGAUUCGGUGUAAAGGAUCUAGUGGCGUAGCUAACGCGUUAAGUACUCCGCCUGGGGACUACGGCCGCAAGGCUAAAACUCAAAGGAAUUGACGGGGACCCGCACAAGCGGUGGAGCAUGUGGUUUAAUUCGAUGCAACGCGAAGAACCUUACCUGGUCUUGACAUCCUGCGAACUUUCUAGAGAUAGAUUGGUGCCUUCGGGAACGCAGUGACAGGUGCUGCACGGCUGUCGUCAGCUCGUGUUGUGAAAUGUUGGGUUAAGUCCCGCAACGAGCGCAACCCCUAUUGAUAGUUACCAUCAUUAAGUUGGGUACUCUAUUGAGACUGCCGCUGACAAGGCGGAGGAAGGUGGGGACGACGUCAAGUCAUCAUGGCCCUUACGACCAGGGCUACACACGUGCUACAAUGGGUAUUACAGAGGGCAGCGAAGUAGCGAUAUGGAGCGAAACUCAGAAAGGUACUCUUAGUCCGGAUUGCAGUCUGCAACUCGACUGCAUGAAGUCGGAAUCGCUAGUAAU
RNAcentral lists this ribosomal RNA (725 nucleotides) under uncultured bacterium. Its description in RNAcentral is "bacterial SSU rRNA". It matches the Rfam family "Bacterial small subunit ribosomal RNA", at positions 619 to 1342 of the family's 1533-position model. The record is from RNAcentral.